This is a long non-coding RNA of Myxocyprinus asiaticus (Chinese sucker), 4606 nucleotides long. RefSeq lists it as uncharacterized. The record is from RefSeq and is a predicted model, not a curated record. The transcript is spliced from 3 exons. NCBI's taxonomy places the organism in Eukaryota, Metazoa, Chordata, Actinopteri, Cypriniformes, Catostomidae.
AUGAGGUCCGGCCAUUUCAGCGGGUAGUUCAGCGUUGUGGCAGGAGGGACACAACGUCUCGUUCCCUCCAUCAGGGAACGGAGGUUACACAAGUAACCAUGACACUCCCUAUCUGUCACUCACUCGAUGUUGUGUCGAUGUAGUGACACUAGGGGUCCCUAUACGAAACGCCACAAUUGGCUGAACUGUGUUACUUGAACUAGCGGUGUGUGGUGGGCAGACUACUGUGUGCCUCAUAGCCAGCACACCAGGUUGACACGUAACCUCCCCCAACAUAGUUAUGAGUGUCGAAUUGCCCUUUUUGGGGACAAGUCGACUACCCAAAAGAUAGAGACAGGCUUAACCCAGUCGUGGCCUCUUUUCCCCUUCUUUUUUUCCACUCCCUAAAAAAGAAGGGGGAUUAUCCGACUGGGCUGCCAGGUCUAGUCGGGGGGUGUCCCUCCCAAGGGGAAGACACCGCGGAGACCACACCUCGCCCAAAGAGAGGAGGGGAUAUUUAAGUGGAAAAAUACAUCACAUGGUCUUUCCAACCAUGUGGGGAGUCUUCAAGGUAGAUCCUGCCCAAUGGGGGAGGAGUUACUACAAACAUGGAGACUGGGGCAGAGGGGCUCUGCCCAAGGAAGACGCAGUUUGCCAACAGGGAAACGAAUUAGCGGAAGAUAUAUAAUCGCAUGGGGUUAGCCUUACAGGGAACCGCCACAUGCGGAGCACAUACCCCAGAACAGGGCUCUUAGUUAGCGCGUGUACUGGGCCGGCAGCGAGUCUCUCUGAAAACUCGAUUGCCACAGGCCUCGGAAGAAGUCAGCCAGGGAACAAAGUUUGUGAACACUACUGGGAAUUAAUUGCGCACAUCUUCAGCUCAAAGGGAGGUGGAAAGCACUAUGUGCAAGCGAUACACCCGGCCAGCAAUCCCGGGCUUAUCCGCUUGUGUUGCGUGCCACUACCUGGGAUGAAACCGGUUCCACCCGGAGGUUGUAGAACCUUGCACAGGUGUUGGGUGUCGCCCAGCCCGCUGCUCUGCAAAUGUCUGUUAGAGAGGCACCCCUGGCCAGGGCCCAGGGAGCCGCUACACCCCUGGUAGAAUGGGCUUGUAGCCCUAUCGGGGGCGGCAUAUCCUAGGCGACAUAUGCCAUAGUUAUGGCGUCAAUGAGCCAGUGGGCGAUCCUCUGCUUGGAGAUAGCGCUUCCUUUCCGCUGUGCACCAAAGCUGACAAAGAGUUCCUCAGAGAUUCUAAAGCUCUGCGUGUGAUCCAAAUAGAUGCGUAAAGCGCGCACUGGACACAGCGACGACAGGGCUGGGUCUGCCUCCUCCUGGGGCAGUACUUGCAGGUUCACCACCUGGUCCCUAAAGGGGUGGUGGGAACCUUGGGCACAUAGCCCGGUCAGGGUCUCAGGAUUACGUGAGAGUAACCUGGACUGAACUCCAGGCAUGUUUCGCUGACAGAGAACGCUUGCAGGUCACCAACCCUCUUGAUGGAAGUGAGCGCAGUCAGGAGGGCAGUCUUCAAGGAGAGUGCCUUAAGCUCGGCUGACUGAAAAGGCUCAAAGGGGGCUCUCUGUAGACCCUGAAGAACUACAGAGAGGUCCGGUGAGGGAACGAGGCGUGGUCUGGAGGGAUUCAGCCUCCUGGCAUCUCUUAGGAACCUGAUGAUCAGGUCGUGCUUCCCUAAGGACUUACCAUCCACUGCGUCAUGGUGUGCUGCUAUGGCGGCAAUGUACACCUUAAAGGUGGAAGGGGACAGCCUCCCUUCCAACCUCUCCUGCAGGAAGGAAAGCACUGAUCCGACUGCGCAUCUCUGGGGGUCUUCCCGACGAGAAGAACACCACUUAGCGAACAGAUGCCACUUAAAAGGCAUACAGGUGCCUCAUAGAGGGGGUCUCCUCUGACUCCAGAGGAGGAGACGGAGGGUGAGUUGUGACAUACAACGAGAGUGCAGACUGCCUUGGCGGUUGACAUAUGCUACCAUUGUCGUGUUGUCUGUCUGAACUAACAUGUGUUUGCCCUGGAUCAACGAAACCUCCGCAGGGCGAGCAGAAUUGCCAACAACUCGAGGCAGUUGAUGUGCCAAUGCAGUCGCGGACCCGUCCAGAGGCCGGCGGCUGCUUGCCCUUUGCAAACAGUGCCCCAGCCCGUUUUGGAGGUGUCUGUCAUGACCCCGACGCACCUAGUUACCAGUUCUAGAGGAACACCUGCCCAUAGAAAUGAGAGGUCGGUCCAAGGGCUGAAAAGACAGUGACAGACUGGCGUGAUGACCAUGCGACAUGCCCCGUGGCACCAUGCCCAUCUCGGGGCUCGAGUCUGGAGCCAGUGCUGAAGCGGCCUUAUAUGCAUCAAGCACCGACUGGGCACGCUCGUUCGUAAGGCGCGCCGUCAAGGAGACUGAGUCCAACUCCAAACCGAGAAAAGAGAUGCUCUGAACUGGGAGGAGCUUGCUCUUUUCCCAGUUGACCCGAAGCCCUAGUCGGCUGAGGUGUGAGAGCACCAGAUCCCUGUGUGCGCACAACAUGUCUCGAGAAUGAGCUAGGAUUAGCCAGUCGUCGAGAUAGUUGAGAAUGCGAAUGCCCACCUCCCUUAACGGGGCAAGGGCAGCCUCUGCGACCUUUGUAAAGACGCGAGGAGACAGGGACAGGCCGAAAGGGAGGAAAUUGUACUGAUAUGCCUGACUCUCGGAUGCAAACCUCAGGAAGGGUCUGUGUCGAGGAAGGAUCGAGACGUGGAAGUACGCAUUAUUCAGGUCUACUGCUGCGAACCAAUCUUGAUGCUGGACGCUCAUCAGAAUGCAUUUUUGCGUUAGCAUCUUGAACAGGAGUCUGUGUAAAGCCUAGUUCAGAACUCACAGGUCCAGACCGCGCCAUGACCUCCGUCGCACGGAGAGCAAGGUCGGUCACCGAGCGCAGUUCCUGCAUCAAUCCCGGGGCGGAACUACCUUCGUGCAGUUCCUUUAGUGCCUUGGCGGACUUGCAGGAGAGCCGUGGUGUGCAGGGCAGAGGCGGCUUGUCCAGCAGCACCAUAGGCCUUGGCUGUCAUAGACAAGAUAAACCUACAGGCCUUGGACGGGGGCUUUGGGCACCUGUGCCAGGUGGCAGCUCUCUGCGGGCAUAGGUGCGCCGUGAGCGCCUUUAUCCACCGGGGGAUUGCCGAAUAGCACUUGGCUGCCCCACCAUCGAGGGUAGUGAGGGCGGGGAAGCUGAAAAGAUCGGGACCGAGCAGUAAAAAGUGCCUCCCGCAACCUUGUCAGCUCUUCAUGCACUUCCGGGAAGAAAGGAACGGGGGCGGGGCGUGGCUUUGAGCGGCGCCGCAAGCCCAGGAACAAAUCACCGAGCCGUGAGGGUUCAGGGAGAGCAGAGGGUUCCACUCAAGCUGACGCUCGUGGCUGCCCGGGAAAGCAUGUCCUCAUCUCCAUGUCAGCCUGUGAAGGGAGGAGCCCAGCUGAGGCUUCCGACUGGACGAGCCCGCUCUCCGAUGCUGCGCUCGAGAGAUCAUCACUUUCGCAGGCUCAGAAUAAGAGGUUGAACUCGCCGUGAGACGAGCCGGCGGACUCAUCCAGAAGCCCGAUCGGGGCAGACGAGCAUGCUGGGGAAUGGGAGGUCCGUGGGGGGAUACCCGGUGGAGGCGGUCCCAUUGGGGUCCCCAAAUCACCCCCAGUGCUAGCCGCGCUGGCCUCAUACCUGUGGGUAAAAGGACCGAGGUGGGGAGCCUCUGGGGUGGGUUACUUUCUUACGAAUGCAAGCCGCGACCGCAACGUUGCCAUGGACAUAUCCUCACAAUGAGAACAUGACCAUCCACGAAUGCUGUCUCCGCGUGAGCAGUGCCCAGACAUGAAAGACAGUGAUCGUGACCGUCAGAAGGCGAGAGAUAACGAGCGCAACCAGGAAUAACACACAAUCGGAAAAGAAUCUUUAGAAAGACGCAUCUUUAAAAAGACGUUCCGUGUGUGCUGCUCUUUUAGAGAAAUAUACUCUUUUAGAGAAAUAUACUCUUUUAUUUCUGCCGAAGCACCCAGGGGCAUUCUCUGUAGUGCACCAGUGCAGAGGGAGGAGAAGCCGCUGAAAUGCGCCGUCAGAUCCAGCAGAGGUGAAUGAACAAUAAUAUUCAGCUCAGUGAGCAUCACCGUUCAGCUCCGAAGAGAAAAUCUGAAUGAGUGGUUGCAUACCAGCUCCUUUUAUACCCGUAUGUCCGGGGGAGUGGCAUGCAAAUACCACUCGCCAGUUUUCAUUGGCCUUUUAUCAAAGACCAGAGGUGUCUCGGGCUCCCAAGAGUGACCUCUAGUGUCACUACAUCGACACAACAUCGAGUGAGUGACAGAUAGGGAACUGGCCCCUCGACCUCGAGGAAGACCCUGACAUCGGAUGUGCUCUCGGGGGGGGGCUCUGUCAUGAACGCACGAAAGGAAACACUUGACUAACCUCAUUUCCGUUGUUUGCAUCGCGGAUGCCACUGUCACCUGGAAGGUCAAACACCAAACCAAAGUCUCAAUCCAAGGGGUGAGGUCAAAGGCUGGGAUAUUGUCACAGCUAACGAAACUUGCAGAACUGCUGAAGCGGAAAGGAUCACUGGGAACGUUACGGAUUCCUGUGUUGUCGCAGAUGAUGCGGGCCAGAGACAC